ACGCACGCUGGCGGCGUGCUUAACACAUGCAAGUCGAACGGAAAGGCCCUGCUUUUGUGGGGUGCUCGAGUGGCGAACGGGUGAGUAACACGUGAGUAACCUGCCCUUGACUUUGGGAUAACUUCAGGAAACUGGGGCUAAUACCGGAUAGGAGCUCCUGCUGCAUGGUGGGGGUUGGAAAGUUUCGGCGGUUGGGGAUGGACUCGCGGCUUAUCAGCUUGUUGGUUGGGUAGUGGCUUACCAAGGCUUUGACGGGUAGCCGGCCUGAGAGGGUGACCGGCCACAUUGGGACUGAUAUACGGCCCAGACUCCUACGGGAGGCAGCAGUGGGGAAUAUUGCACAAUGGGAGGAAGCCUGAUGCAGCAACGCCGCGUGCGGGAUGACGGCCUUCGGGUUGUAAACCGCUUUCGCCUGUGACGAAGCGUGAGUGACGGUAAUGGGUAAAGAAGCACCGGCUAACUACGUG
This 467-nucleotide ribosomal RNA is filed under the name uncultured bacterium. RNAcentral describes it as "partial 16S ribosomal RNA". It matches the Rfam family "Bacterial small subunit ribosomal RNA", at positions 29 to 507 of the family's 1533-position model. The record is from RNAcentral.